CAAGUUUCCUAGGGUUCUUGGAUAAACCCAAGCCCUUGCAAGAUAAGUAUUUGAAAAGAAAGGAAGGUACUUCAAGGUAACUACAAGGUGGUACAGCAAGGUAUG
Molecule: long non-coding RNA, 105 nt
Organism: Solanum tuberosum (potato)
Lineage: Eukaryota; Viridiplantae; Streptophyta; Magnoliopsida; Solanales; Solanaceae
Exons: 2
Source: RefSeq, a predicted model, not a curated record